This 720-nucleotide ribosomal RNA is filed under the name uncultured Staphylococcus sp. Its description in RNAcentral is "bacterial SSU rRNA". It matches the Rfam family "Bacterial small subunit ribosomal RNA", at positions 61 to 763 of the family's 1533-position model. Lineage: Bacteria; Bacillati; Bacillota; Bacilli; Caryophanales; Staphylococcaceae. The record is from RNAcentral.
GUCGAGCGAACAGACGAGGAGCUUGCUCCUCUGACGUUAGCGGCGGACGGGUGAGUAACACGUGGAUAACCUACCUAUAAGACUGGGAUAACUUCGGGAAACCGGAGCUAAUACCGGAUAAUAUAUUGAACCGCAUGGUUCAAUAGUGAAAGACGGUUUUGCUGUCACUUAUAGAUGGAUCCGCGCCGCAUUAGCUAGUUGGUAAGGUAACAGCUUACCAAGGCAACGAUGCGUAGCCGACCUGAGAGGGUGAUCGGCCACACUGGAACUGAGACACGGUCCAGACUCCUACGGGAGGCAGCAGUAGGGAAUCUUCCGCAAUGGGCGAAAGCCUGACGGAGCAACGCCGCGUGAGUGAUGAAGGUCUUCGGAUCGUAAAACUCUGUUAUUAGGGAAGAACAAAUGUGUAAGUAACUAUGCACGUCUUGACGGUACCUAAUCAGAAAGCCACGGCUAACUACGUGCCAGCAGCCGCGGUAAUACGUAGGUGGCAAGCGUUAUCCGGAAUUAUUGGGCGUAAAGCGCGCGUAGGCGGUUUUUUAAGUCUGAUGUGAAAGCCCACGGCUCAACCGUGGAGGGUCAUUGGAAACUGGAAAACUUGAGUGCAGAAGAGGAAAGUGGAAUUCCAUGUGUAGCGGUGAAAUGCGCAGAGAUAUGGAGGAACACCAGUGGCGAAGGCGACUUUCUGGUCUGUAACUGACGCUGAUGUGCGAAAGCGUG